RNAcentral lists this ribosomal RNA (429 nucleotides) under Gemmatimonadota bacterium. RNAcentral's name for it is "Gemmatimonadetes bacterium partial 16S ribosomal RNA". It matches the Rfam family "Bacterial small subunit ribosomal RNA", at positions 355 to 776 of the family's 1533-position model. Lineage: Bacteria; Pseudomonadati; Gemmatimonadota. The record is from RNAcentral.
UAGGGAAUCUUCGGCAAUGGACGAAAGUCUGACCGAGCAACGCCGCGUGAGUGAAGAAGGUUUUCGGAUCGUAAAACUCUGUUGUUAGAGAAGAACAAGGACGUUAGUAACUGAACGUCCCCUGACGGUAUCUAACCAGAAAGCCACGGCUAACUACGUGCCAGCAGCCGCGGUAAUACGUAGGUGGCAAGCGUUGUCCGGAUUUAUUGGGCGUAAAGCGAGCGCAGGCGGUUUCUUAAGUCUGAUGUGAAAGCCCCCGGCUCAACCGGGGAGGGUCAUUGGAAACUGGGCGUCUUGAGUGCAGACGAGGAGAGUUGAAUUCCAUGUGUAGCGGUGAAAUGCGUAGAUAUAUGGAGGAACACCAGUGGCGAAGGCGGCUCUCUGGUCUGUAACUGACGCUGAGGCUCGAAAGCGUGGGGAGCAAACAGG